AGAUUGAACGCUGGCGGCAUGCUUUACACAUGCAAGUCGAACGGCAGCGCGGGGCAACCUGGCGGCGAGUGGCGAACGGGUGAGUAAUAUAUCGGAACGUACCCAAGAGUGGGGGGAUAACGUAGCGAAAGUUACGCUAAUACCGCAUACGAUCUAAGGAUGAAAGCAGGGGACCGCAAGGCCUUGCGCUCCUGGAGCGGCCGAUAUCUGAUUAGCUAGUUGGUAGGUAAGGCCUACCAAGGCUACGAUCAGUAGCUGGUCUGAGAGGACGACCAGCCACACUGGAACUGAGACACGGUCCAGACUCCUACGGGAGCAGCAGUGGGGAAUUUGGACAAGUGGGCGCAAGCCUGACUCCAGGCAAUGCCGCGUAGAGUAGAAAGGAAGGCCGUUUACGGGUAGUAAACGUCUACGUUUUAGUACGUAAGG
RNAcentral lists this ribosomal RNA (429 nucleotides) under uncultured soil bacterium. RNAcentral describes it as "bacterial SSU rRNA". It matches the Rfam family "Bacterial small subunit ribosomal RNA", at positions 26 to 452 of the family's 1533-position model. The record is from RNAcentral.